UGUCACCCAUCGCGGCUGUGUCACCCGUCACAACCCAAGGCUGCGUGUACCACCCAUCACGGCUGUGUCACCGUCACAGCCACGGGCUGGUUGUGUCACCCAUCGUGGUUGUGUCACCAUCACAAAUGUGUCACCCAUCGCAGCUGUGUCACCGUCAAAACCACAGGCCGAUUGUGUCACCCAGCACGGCUGUGUCCCCAUCACAGUUAUGUCACCCAUCAGAGCUGUGUCACCUCACAUCCACAGAUCGGUUGUGUCACCCGUCACAGUUGAGUCACCUGUCACAACCCAGGGCUGGUUGUGCCACCCGUCACAGCUGUGUCACCAUCACAGCCACGGGCCGGUCGUGUCACCCAUCACGGUUGUGUCACCCAUCACAGUGUGUCACCUGGCACAGCUGUGUCACCCAUCACGGUUGUGUCACCCAUCACGGUUGUGUCACCCAUCAUGGUUGUGUCACCCAUCACAGUUGUGUCACAGUUGUGUCACCCAGCACAGUUGUGUCACCCGGCACAGCUGUGUCACCCAUCAUGGUUGUGUCACCCAUCCUGGCUGUGUCACCCAUCACAGUUGUGUCACCCAUCACAGCUGUGUCACCCAUCACAGUUGUGUCACAGUUGUGUCAUCCAUCACAGCUGUGUCACCCAUCACGGUUGUGUCACCCAUCACAGUUGUGUCACCCGGCACAGCUGUGUCACCCAUCACGGUUGUGUCACCCAUCACAGUUGUGUCACAGUUGUGUCACCCAUCACGGUUGUGUCACCCAUCACAGUUGUGUCACAGUUGUGUCAUCCAUCAUGGUUGUGUCACCCAUCACGGUUGUGUCACAGCUGUGUCACCCAUCAUGGUUGUGCCACCCAUCACGGUUGUGUCACCCAUCACGGUUGUGUCACCCAUCACAUUGUGUCACCCAUCACGGUUGUGUCACAGCUGUGUCACCCUGCCCAUCCCGCUGGAGCCGGUCGCCAUGGCGCGGUGCCGGAGCGGUAACCGGAUCCUCCGGGUCCAUCUCCUCGGGGCCGUCCCGGAGCGCGGUCGCUCAGCGCACGCCAUCGCCCGGCGGCUGCGGGGCUGGAGUCGCUCCAGGGACCCUCCCCGGGGGGGGUGGGCGCCGCAGCCACCAUCGCCCCCUCCCAACUCCCACGAGU
Molecule: long non-coding RNA, 1148 nt
Filed under: Numida meleagris (helmeted guineafowl)
Lineage: Eukaryota; Metazoa; Chordata; Aves; Galliformes; Numididae
Description: lncRNA (ENSNMEG00000003554.1)
Source: RNAcentral